UUGUGAUCUCCCAUCCAAGGUGUUGAACAGCUGAGACCGAACAUUCAUUGAAAGAAUCUCUGUAUGAAUCUGAGUAAGGACAUUAUGAGUUUGGAACCUGAUGGAUUUAUGAGAUGGGCCUGAGUUGGCCCAUCCGCUCAAGUUGGGCCCAAAAGGGCCCGGCCCACGGGAAUAGGGCCCGUGGAAGGGGAAGGUAUAAAAAGGAUGAGAGAGAGAGAGAAAACAACGUUUAAGAAAGGAACGUACGUCUUCUCCCGCGCGUUCUCUCUUCCUCCAAAAAGGAACAGUAAGUUCAAGGCACUGUUUUCUCCCCUUCAAGGCGUCAUCGGAUCGAACGGGGCUAGAAUUUCUUCCUCUUCUUCGGCAUUGGUGUUUAAUCUGUGGCUAACAAGGUACGCUCGAAUCCGUGGUGUGCUUUACGAUCGGUGAUGCGUGAUUUCCCGGGCUUCGCUUCCGCAUUGAUUUAGGGGUUCGAUUUAGUGUCGAAUCCGGUUUUCGGGGAUCAGUCAUUCCAACAUUGGUAUCAGAGCCCUAGUUCACGUUUUUCCCAAUCAAUUCUGAUGUUUUUUGAUUGUUUUUUCGCGAAAUCCCUUCGGCCGUACGGAACCGGGCAAAAAUCCCGACAGCCGAGCGCUUUUCGGCCAUUUUUUCGAGAUUUUGUAAGUCAAAAUAAAAUUUUGAUUACAUAGGAAGAAACGCGACGUCGAGACGAGUCCGGCGAUGUGUCGACCGCCGCCAGGAGACGCUGCACGCGCCCACACGCGCGGCCGGAAGGCGCUGCGCGUGGGCGCGACGCGCCCGAAGCGCUGGCAUUGGCCAGCGCGUGCCGAGCACGCGCCGGUCGGCGAACCGGCGCGUGCACGCCGCCGGCGGGCGAACUGGCACGCGCCGGUCCGCGGACCGACGCGUGCUGACGACACGUGCUGACGUCACGUGAUGACGUCACCGUGACGUCAUCCAACGGUCGGUAACCGUUCGGAUGACGUCACCGAUGACGUCAUCACUGACGUCGUUUCGCCGGGCGGUCACCGGCCGGCGACCCGACCUACCGGAGACCAAGGCACGUGGCAGGCACGUGCGGAUGACGUCUGCGUGACGUCAUCCCCCGCACGCGCGCGGCACGUGCUUUCGGUCCGCGCGAGCGGUCUGACCGGCCCGAGCGGUCUGACCGGUCCGACCGGUCCGUCCGGUCCGACCGGUCCGACGACCGUUGACCUCCGUUGACCGCCGACGACCGUUGACGACCGUUGACCGUUGACAUCGGUUGACCGACGACCGUUGACUUUGACCGUUGACCGUUGACCCGAAAAAAAAAAAAAAAAAAAAGAGAGGGAAAAGAAUGUGUUUCUUUUUCAAUUAAGUCUAUAUGGAUUAUAAUGUGAUCCCUUAUUUGUUCUGCAUUUGUUGCAGGAACAAUGCCUCCCCUGAGGUUGCGCACACCUAUUCGCGCAGUGACCGAUGAACAAAAGGAAAGGCUGUCUAAGUUGAUAGCUGAGCUGACUGAUCAUCAAUGGGAGAGUGGUGACUUAAUUGAUCACGUCCUUGAAGUCAACGGGAAAAUUCAACAGGUCAUAUGGAAUGGUCGUCCUAUGUCACAGUCAGAGAUGGUGCGAUUUUUCAUAAACACUCUUCCACCUGAAUGGCAAGAUGUGUUGAAUCGCAUAUGGGAUGUCAACGGAGCUGCUUCCUAUAAGAAAAUUGUGAUGGAUUUUGUAAAUGAAUAUUAUUGUAUUGUUUCGAGGGAAAAGAUCAAGAAAUUGAACAAAAAAGGAUCUUUCCCAGUUCGUGUGCUGACUUGGUGUUAGUUGUAUUGGCUGAUAUAUGUUAAGUGUGAUUUGUGGACAUAUUAUGUAAUGAUUACUACCUAAUUGUGUUAAUUGAAAGCAUUAUUGUUUUUAUUAGAUGUUCUAUUAUAUAUUACUUUCUGUUAUUGCUGGUUGCUGUGGGUAAUUAGCUAUGGGUAGUUUUAGAAGUUUUUGUAACUUCAUAGAAUUGACUUUGCAUAAGACAAUUAUAUUGAUGAUAGUUUUAAGUUAGGAUUUUGGAGGAUGAUUGGAAACAUAGUGACAUUUUGAUUCUGAAACCUUACUUGAAAUUAUUUAUUAAUAUGAUGGGUCUAUGUAAAAGUGGAUGCAUAAAUGAUAGGCAUUAAUAAUUCGUGCAUGUAUGUCUGAUGUGUUCAGAUCGAUAUUUUCAGCACUAAGAACGUAUUGCUGAUAUGAACGGCCACAAUUGUGAAAUNNNNNNNNNNNNNNNNNNNNNNNNNNNNNNNNNNNNNNNNNNNNNNNNNNNNNNNNNNNNNNNNNNNNNNNNNNNNNNNNNNNNNNNNNNNNNNNNNNNNAGCUCUUGACCAUAUUAUGGAAGAUCUAGAGGAUGCCGUGCGCCACCUUGAGCUAGUAGAGGACUGGCUAUCGGCAUUUGAGCCGAAAAUAGACAUAGGCUAUGCUGGUUCUAGCUCAGAAAGGGCUUUGAGCUCUAAGCGCAAACGUAUUGAUUCGUUCAAUAUGUGGGAAAGCAAAGGAUCAAGUCCUUAUUGCAAGAGAUCAAGAGUUAACCAACACAAGAGAGGAAAACGUCCUCAAGUGAGAAGUGAGGUGUUACAAUUGUGACAAGAAUGUCACUAUGCUCGCAAUUGUUGUGAGCCGAAAAAGGUAAACACCUCUUGUACAUUUGAGAACUUUGAUUAUGUGUCAAGUUCUGCAUUAUUAGCUGAAUCCAAUCCUUUGUGGACUGUAGAUUCAUGAGCAACAGAUGAUGUAGCGAAGGAUAAAGGAUCCUUCGUAGAAUUCCGACGAUACCAACUGGAACUAAGUGGAUCUAUGUGGGAAACAGCUCCAGAGCUGAAAUUAAAGGGAUUGGCACCUGCCAAUUGAACAUGCGUGGUGGACGCAACUUGUUCCUACAUGAUGUUCUAUAUGCUCUGGAGAUUCGUCGAAAUUUAAGUGUCUGUUUUGAUGCAUUGGUUAAGCUUGGUUUUUAGUAUGAACUUCCAUAAUAGAUGUGUAGAUUUGUAUUUGGAUACAAACUACUAUGAUUUUUUGGUCACUUUCUGGAUGGUUUUAUUGUACUAAAUGUUGACUGUGGUGAUGUCAAUAUGUUAUUCCCUUGUUUCAUGUCUUCUACUUUAUAUGAUAAUGAUGUGAAUAUGGUGGCAUGCUAGACUUGGUCAUAUGGGCCAACAACAUAUGAAAAGACUAGCCAAAGAGGGCUUGUUGGGCAAUAUUGAAAAAGUCGAUUUGCUUAUAUGUAAGCAUUGCCUAUAAGGGAAAACGACAAUGAAACCAUUUGGAAAAGGUAAAAGAGCUGAAUUUCCUCUGCAUUUAAUCUAUUCUGAUGUCUGUGGUUCAAUGAAUAUGAGAGGAAGGCAAUGGGCUGUUUGUUUCAUCACUUUUAUAGAUGAUUCUACUUGAUUUGGAUAUGUCUAUUUGAUUUCUCAUAAAUCUAAAGCAUAAGUUGUUUCAAAAAGUUUAUGAACCUGGUAGAGAAUCAAUUAGACAAGAAAAUAAAAGUAUUGAGAUCCGAUCGAGGUCAAGAAUAUUUAUCUGAUGAGUUCAGAAAAUUAUGUGAUGAAAAAGGAAUAGAAAGACAGUUGUCUAUUCCAUAUACUCCUCAACAAAAUGGUGUUGCGGAGAGAAGAAACAGAACCCUACUGGAAAUGGUUAGGUCCAUGAUGGUGUAUGCUAACUUACAUAUCACUUCUUGGAGUGAUGCGUUGUUAACUGCUGCCUAAAUACUUAACCGAGUGCCUUCUAAAUCAGUUAGUUCCACUCCAUAUGAGUUAUGGAUAGGUAGAAAACCGGACUUAGGUUUUCUUAAGUCAUGGGGUUGUGCUACCUAUAAUGAAUCCUCUCACAAAUUUGGGAAAUAUGGUCCCAAAUGAAAGAAGAGUAUUUUUAUGAGAUACUCCGAACACUCGAAAGGGUAUGUGUUCGUAGGUGAGCAGGAAAGUGGGAGUAUAACUGAAUUUGAAUCACGGGAUGUCAUAUCCUUAGUGGAUGAAUUUUCUAAGAGGGGCAAAAUAGGGAAAAUUACUCCCUAUUUGAAACCUUGGAUUAAGAUAAUGAUGUCAGUGGAGUUUGUCCAAGUGGGAGUAAUAUGAGAUGUAAUGAAUUGAAUUCAACUCAUUCUCAAUUGCAACCACCUGAAUGUGACGACAUCAUCAUUACCUAAUCCAAGUGGGAACAUGAUGGAGAAUGAUGUGCUAAGUGUACAAUCUUCCAUACGGUGAACAAGUCGCCAAAGUAUUCCCCGUCGACGUUUUGACAUUGAAGGGGAAACUUUUAUGGUUGCUCCACAAGAUGAGGAUGAGCCAAGAAAUAUUAAUGAGGCUCUGAAUUGCCCUAAUAAGGAAAUAUGGAUUUAUGCAAUGAAAGAGGAAAUGGAGUCAAUGAAAUCAAACCGAGUCUGGGAACUGGUUGAUCUUCCAAAAGGACACAAAGCUAUUGGGAACAAGUGGGUUCUCGAAAUAAAGCGAAAAGUUUAUGGCUCGAUAGAAAGGCAUAAGGCUCUCCUUGUGGCGAAGAGGUAUAAUCAACAGGAAGGAAUUGAUUAUUAAGAUACAUUUUCUCCUGUAGUAAGAUUUACCUAGAUUCGCAUUAUUCUGGCAAUAAUGGUUAGUAUGGAUCUUGAGUUACAUCAUAUGGAUGUAAAGACUGCUUUCCUCAAUGGAGAAUUAGAGGAAUAAAUAAAUAUGGAACAACAUGUUGGUUUCAUAGUAUGUCGACUUUGGAGGUCGAUAUAUGGUCUUAAGCAGUCAUCAAGACAAUGGUAUAUACGUUUUCAUAAUGCCAUAAUGGCAUAUGAUUUUAUGAUGAUUGAUGAGGAUCAUUGUGUAUAUAUCAAAAGAUCCUAGGAUCAAAAUUGUGAUCAUAUCAUUAUAUGUUGAUGAUAUACUAAUUGCCGGAAGCAAUAUGGAGUUGGUUAAUACUGUCAAGAGAUAGUUGUCUUCCAACUUUGAGAUGAAUGAUAUGGGAUUGUAAACUCAUAAACACUCCUAUUGCAAAAGGUGAAGGAUUGAGCCAUAGACUGUGUCCAAGGACUCCACAAGAGAAGGAACAAACAAAAUAUGUUCCUUAUGCUAGUGCUGUUGGGAGCUUGAUGUAUGCUAUGAUGUGUACAACACCCGACAUAUGCUUUGCAGUUGGAAUGGUGAGCAGAUACCAAUCCAAUCCAGGUCAAGCACAUUGGAAAGCCGUUAAGAGAAUACUGAGGUAUCUAAAGUGGACUGCUGAUUAUAUGUUGAGUUAUUAUGGAAAGGAUCUGCAACUCAAAGGCUAUUCUGAUGCUGAUUGGAGAGGAGAUUUAAUGAAAGAAAAUCUACCUCUGGAUUUGUUUUCUUACCGAAUAAUUGCACCAUAUGUUGGAGCAGUAAGAAACAAAAGUGUAUAGCCUUGUCCACGAUGGAAAUUGAGUUCGUGGCAUUAUCAGCAGCAGUAUAAGAAGAUGUUUGGCUUAAGAGAUUAUUGGAUCAUUUAGGUGUUAUUGGAAGUGCUGCAGAUUUGUUAUUAGUUAACUAUGAUAAUCAAGUAGCAAAAGUGUACACUAAAGAUCCAAAUAUCAUGGCAAGACCAAACAUAUAGAUACCAAGUAUAAUUUUGUCAAGGAUAUGGUUGCACGAAAGGAUGUGAACUUAGAGUACAUGCUACGCAUAGAAUGGUUGCAGAUCCUAUAACAAAGCCAAUACCUAGAGAUGUACUUUGUGGCCAUGUGAAAUCUCUAGGACUGCGUAGAGACUGAUGUACUAAAUAUUGUAAUUUCCCUAAGUGUUCACAAUUUGAUGAAUUUGCGUUUUCAUCAUUAAUGCCUAUGAAUCUUUGUUUGAUCUUUAUGCAUCUUAAUGCUUAGUGCAUUACUUUAAGUUAGGAAGUAUGUCGGACAGAUAUAAGAUUAGCCCACUCACACGGGUAAUCGCCUCUAUUUACUAUGUGAUAAAUAGAGAUGAGACUGUUUUUAAGCUUAUUAUCUAAGUGAUAAUCGAGAGCUCAAGCUUAAAACACGUAUGUCGCCUUAACUAGGUGUUAAGAUGAGGACAUAAUACUUACUAUGUCUGAAAGUAAAAUACCCCACAUGUUUUACUUUAUCUGUCUAUGAUGCCAGAUGUGAGUUCUGAUGAAUUUUGUAAAUGAGUAGAUACGUGAACUCAAGUUAGACAUUGGGUAUGUCUGAACUAUCAUCUGUACGGUAUUGAAAGUGUAGACAUACGCUCCAUGGGAAAGGAGUUAAUACCGUAAUACGUAUUUCAUACUACGUAUGCAUGAGACGACCAAUAAGAGUGGCAAAAGUUUGAUCUCAACUUUUUUAUGUCGUGUGAGACUCUUGAGGAAAAGAGUUCCUCAAUUUUUAGUCCCCUCAUGACUCUUACUUAUUCUCAAGAUUUCUAUUUAAUGUUUGCUAUCUUAGGAUGUUGCCAAUGGUCAUGAUUUUGAUUCGAUCUAAUGGGGCAUUUCUAGAAAAGCAAGCUGAACUGAAAUUGAGAGUUUGAAGGAAAGAGGAAGAUUGAUUUUGGAGAAUCACAUUGUAGUUUUGUAUUCACCGGUUAACCAAUUAUGAUUGUCUUUGGGAUAAUCAUAAUUGUGAAUACAAUAUAUAUAUCAUUGUUUGAAAAGAAAUCAAGAGAGAUAUAAAUGUGAUCGAUCGAUCUAGGGUACUGCAUACUAAAUCUACUCGAAGUGUGACGCUCAUUAUGAGCUGCUAUAUAUUCCUAACAGAUGUAUAGCAACGAGCUCUCAAAGUAUGCUGGUCGCACGGAUUAUUCACUGGUAUGAAUGUUGAAGAGAGAAAAAGAGAAUUAUGUUCGGCCCACCAUGUUAAGAGAAAGUCUAUGAUGGAUUUUUCUCUGAUGAGGCUGAGUAGGGCCUGUCCGCCCAUGUUGGUUUUGUACCACCAUGUGCGAGUGGGAGAUGAUGGAUUUAUGAGAUGGGCCUGAGUUGGCCCAUCCGCUCAAGUUGGGCCCAAAAGGGCCCGGCCCACGGGAAUAGGGCCCGCGGAAGGGGAAGGUAUAAAAAGGAUGAGAGAGAGAGAGAAAACAACGUUUAAGAAAGGAACGUACGUCUUCUCCCGCGCGUUCUCUCUUCCUCCAAAAAGGAACAGUAAGUUCAAGGCACUGUUUUCUCCCCUUCAAGGCGUCAUCGGAUCGAACGGGGCUAGAAUUUCUUCCUCUUCUUCGGCAUUGGUGUUUAAUCUGUGGCUAACAAGGUACGCUCGAAUCCGUGGUGUGCUUUACGAUCGGUGAUGCGUGAUUUCCCGGGCUUCGCUUCCGCAUUGAUUUAGGGGUUCGAUUUAGUGUCGAAUCCAGUUUUCGGGGAUCAGUCAUUCCCAACAGAACCCUCAUUUGACUCAAAGUUAACACCAGAGUCCUGCAGAGAUAUUAAGUACUUGACAGAUUCUUUAGUUGAUAGCCGCAGCUUCUACAAUACGCGAGUAUUGAUGAUGAAAGGAAAGGCAACAAAUCUAAGUCAAAUAUGCAGCAAAUCAGAUUUCGAGAGACAGCAGACUGAUAAAAAUGAAGACGCCCGUCAUCUUCUUAACUAUUGUGCUUCUACAUGUGUU
This 7548-nucleotide long non-coding RNA is filed under the name Eucalyptus grandis. Its description in RNAcentral is "long non-coding RNA (EGRA_LNC001723)". Lineage: Eukaryota; Viridiplantae; Streptophyta; Magnoliopsida; Myrtales; Myrtaceae. The record is from RNAcentral.